UUCCAGGGAACCCCAAAUAAAACCUCACUU
Molecule: non-coding RNA, 30 nt
Filed under: Mus musculus (house mouse)
Lineage: Eukaryota; Metazoa; Chordata; Mammalia; Rodentia; Muridae
Source: RNAcentral